GGAGGGGUUCCCGAGUGGCCAAAGGGAACAGACUGUAAAUCUGUCGGCGAAGCCUUCGUAGGUUCGAAUCCUACCCCCUCCA
Molecule: transfer RNA, 82 nt
Filed under: Candidatus Zixiibacteriota bacterium
Lineage: Bacteria; Pseudomonadati; Candidatus Zixiibacteriota
Description: tRNA-Tyr
Rfam family: tRNA
About the family: Transfer RNA (tRNA) molecules are approximately 80 nucleotides in length. Their secondary structure includes four short double-helical elements and three loops (D, anti-codon, and T loops).
Source: RNAcentral